This 253-nucleotide ribosomal RNA is filed under the name uncultured bacterium. Its description in RNAcentral is "partial 16S ribosomal RNA". It matches the Rfam family "Bacterial small subunit ribosomal RNA", at positions 524 to 776 of the family's 1533-position model. The record is from RNAcentral.
UACGUAGGGGGCAAGCGUUGUCCGGAUUUAUUGGGCGUAAAGAGCUCGUAGGCGGUUUGUCGCGUCGGCCGUGAAAUCUCCACGCUUAACGUGGAGCGUGCGGUCGAUACGGGCAGACUUGAGUUCGGUAGGGGAGACUGGAAUUCCUGGUGUAGCGGUGAAAUGCGCAGAUAUCAGGAGGAACACCGGUGGCGAAGGCGGGUCUCUGGGCCGAUACUGACGCUGAGGAGCGAAAGCGUGGGGAGCGAACAGG